This 1632-nucleotide long non-coding RNA is filed under the name Capra hircus (goat). Its description in RNAcentral is "lncRNA (ENSCHIG00000007266.1)". Lineage: Eukaryota; Metazoa; Chordata; Mammalia; Artiodactyla; Bovidae. The record is from RNAcentral.
AUGGCCGCUUGGGAGCGAAGGCGAAGAAGCCCCAGAGAGGGAACGAAGAUAAAGGUUCCUGCCCAAGACUGCCUGCAUGGGGGACUGCUGCAUAUUAUUGGAGGAGCCAGAAAGACUUCGCUGCUCCUGGACGGAGGAAGCAUUGGUAGAGGGAGUCUCGGAGCUCAAAGGAAACUACCCCAAGUCUUAGUCCUGCAGCGAGACGGGGACUUCCAGCUUUGCAGCUUCUGUGAGCGGCCGGAGGCUGGGGAGCCCUGGCGACGGCGGCGAGGGCGCCCGUGGAUUAGGGUGUGGAUUGCAGGACAGACCUUUGUUUGGUCACAUUCUCGACGGGGGUGCGGGGGAGGGUCAUUCUCCUUCGAGAUCGCGCUAGAUUUUUAUAGACUCGCCUUAAAAGAACUCGCCGCUCUUCAUAGGGUUAAUUUAUGGGGCUUUCGAGGAAUAUUGGGGACUUUUAGGACUCUCUUUAUUUUUUUUCCCAUUAAUUUUUUUUUUUUUUCGGUUCUACUAAAGUGACGCCCGGGUUUCAGCACCUCGCAGGAAGAGGGUGGGGGUGGGAGAAAGAACAGGGCCAGGAGGGAAAGGGGAGGAUGAGCCUCCUAACCAAAGCGCUUACAGGGCCCAGGCUGCACAACGUAUUUUUAAAAAUUAAAUUUCUAAUCUUGUUGUGGGCCGUAAAACUCAGAUUUAGGAAGUGGGGGGAAAUUGAAACAAAUGUGGGCUCUAUCUACCUUUUUCCAGGUCUCCACCAAUUUGAAUUCAGUAUUAGGGAGAAGAAUUUGGGGCCUUAAAAAUGUUAAGUUUAAAAAAGUACAGACCAGAGGAAGGAUUAGAGUAGCAGGUGAGGGGGGCGGGAAGGAAAAGCCCCUGGACCGCGAACGGUCUGCGCGGGGUUGCUGCCCCAGCUCUCCCCAGCCUCAGGAGCGCAGAGGUGGGCGACCAGGACUGAAGGCUCGGGAUGCCUGGGCUCCUGGGGGCCCCGACCUCCAGCUCGCCAUCUUUGAUCCCAAGAGGAGGAGGCUGGUGUUCAUGCUAUAGAUUACGUUAAAGGUUCCUUUAAGCACUUUAAUACACAACUAGCUCAGAAAUCAUUAAGAGACCUAGAGAAGGAGAAAAAAUACCCUCACACUCACCGGUAAUAAAUGUUGACCUGCAGCAAAAAUCGAUUGAGUGGAACCGAGGUGGUGGCAGUAACGAUGGCUGGGGGUGUGGGGGUGGGGACCCGCGUGGAAGCGGGAGGGGCGAGGGAACCGACUCCGUCAGCUCGGGAACUAGGCUUUUCUCACUUGAAGGGAAAAGGAGGUGCAGAAAGAGGCUGAAAGCCGAGCCAGGGUGGGUUGGGAAAGGGAGGUGAGGAGGGUCAUUCUCCCUUCUGGAAGUCCUGGGAAAGGCGCUGAGGUGGGAGAAAGGGCCUCUCUCAGUCUCCCAAGUCUCCGCCCCCAGCACGCACCACUCAAGUCGGGGAAGUGACAAGUCUUCCCAAACCUCGACUUCCAUUUUUGUUUCCUGCGGAUUGAUUGAUUUCCUCGAAAUAAGAGUUCUAUUUCAGCAUAAGCAGACUAGGCCGAGGUCCACCUCCUCAAUCAGCGCUCCCAAGUCACUCUUGGGCCUGCAGACGCCAAUCCUCCCAGC